GAAAUGCGAUAAGUAAUGUGAAUUGCAGAAUUCAGUGAAUCAUCGAAUCUUUGAACGCACCUUGCGCUCCUUGGUAUUCCUUGGAGCAUGCCUGUUUGAGUAUCAUGAAAUCUUCAAAGUAAAUCUUUUGUUAACUCAAUUGGUUUCUACUUUGGUAUUGGAGGUCUUUGCAGCUUCACACCUGAUCCUCUUUGUUCAUUAGCUGGAUCUCAGUGUUAUGCUUGGUUCCACUCGGCGUGAUAAGUUAUCUAUCGCUGAGGACACUGUAAAAGGUGGCCAAGGUAAAUGCAGAUGAACCGCUUCUAAUAGUCCAUUGACUUGGACAAUACUUUUAUGAUCUGAUCUCAAAUCAGGUAGGACUACCCGCUGAACUUAAGC
This 378-nucleotide unclassified non-coding RNA is filed under the name plant metagenome. RNAcentral describes it as "partial contains 5.8S ribosomal RNA, internal transcribed spacer 2, and large subunit ribosomal RNA". The stretch from base 1 to 105 matches the Rfam family "5.8S ribosomal RNA", at positions 50 to 154 of the family's 154-position model. The record is from RNAcentral.